ACACGACUACAUUAGAUACCCCCGGUAGUCCUAGCCGUAAACGAUACUCGCUAGGUGUCGGCCACGGUGCGACCGUUGUCGGUGCCGUAGGGAAGCCGUGAAGCGAGCCACCUGGGAAGUACGGCCGCAAGGCUGAAACUUAAAGGAAUUGGCGGGGGAGCACAACAACGGGUGGAGCUUGCGGUUUAAUUGGAUUCAACGCCGGAAAUCUUACCGGGACCGACAGCAACAUGAAGGCCAAGCUGAAGACUUUGCCGGAUUAGCUG
RNAcentral lists this ribosomal RNA (266 nucleotides) under uncultured archaeon. RNAcentral describes it as "partial 16S ribosomal RNA". It matches the Rfam family "Archaeal small subunit ribosomal RNA", at positions 717 to 982 of the family's 1478-position model. The record is from RNAcentral.